This 303-nucleotide ribosomal RNA is filed under the name Triticum aestivum (bread wheat). Its description in RNAcentral is "partial small subunit ribosomal RNA". Lineage: Eukaryota; Viridiplantae; Streptophyta; Magnoliopsida; Poales; Poaceae. The record is from RNAcentral.
AUGGUCCACCGUCGCCGUUCCCUUAGCACGCCGCCUGCACUUCCUCUUGGUCGCCGCAAUCGUUGGGUCAUCGGUUCAUCUGUUCGUGCCUGGAUUGUCGCGGUUCAUCUUUACUCAUGUUUCUCUUUGAUGAUGUCCAGGUGCCGCAGUACUGGCAGCGAACCUGAAGGCCCCAAUGCAGGAGGAAGCAGGCGGGUGCUCGGCGACAUCGGCAAUAUCGUCCCUGCCCACGUCCUCGAGGGCAAUAUGCAGCUACCGGCGGGGAUCACUCCAAUCACCAGGAGCUUCAGCGCUGAGCUCUGA